RNAcentral lists this non-coding RNA (30 nucleotides) under Mus musculus (house mouse). RNAcentral also lists the same sequence under 1 other name. The record is from RNAcentral. Lineage: Eukaryota; Metazoa; Chordata; Mammalia; Rodentia; Muridae.
UGGGAACUAUAAGUGGGGAAGAAACCCAUA